Molecule: long non-coding RNA, 259 nt
Filed under: Mytilus galloprovincialis (Mediterranean mussel)
Lineage: Eukaryota; Metazoa; Mollusca; Bivalvia; Mytilida; Mytilidae
Source: RNAcentral
AGUUUCUGGUGUAGACCAAACAGUCAAACGUCCGGCUUAUUUUUAAAGGUCAUUGUCAUCAUCAAGUGGGCGUAGGAUUGAAAUGACAUUUAAAACUUCAGAAGGAAUUAUUGUAUUAAGUGUAUAAUGGAAAUAUUCUAAUCUUGAAUGUUGACUGUACUGUUAAUGCUGCAAAUGAAAAUCUUAACCAUGGUGGCGGUGUCGCUUAUGUUAUUGCAGCUGCGGCAGGAUUUGCCUAUGAAAAGGAGAGCGAUGACUA